Molecule: unclassified non-coding RNA, 299 nt
Filed under: Hevea brasiliensis (rubber tree)
Lineage: Eukaryota; Viridiplantae; Streptophyta; Magnoliopsida; Malpighiales; Euphorbiaceae
Source: RNAcentral
CCUCCAGCUUUUUGUCCACCAGGAUUUCCCAUAUCAUUUUAUCCUGCCUUUUGGAAUUGUGGUAUCCCUGGUGGUUGGAACAUCCCUUUGGUGUCUCCUCAAUCAUCUUCUUCAUCAUCAAAUCAAAAGGCUCCAUCUGGUCCUAAUUCUCCUUUGGGAAAGCACUCGAGAGACGGGGACACACUUAAGCCAGAAGACCUAGAGAAAGAAGAGACGGCAAAGAAUAGAAAUGGACAUGUUUUAGUUCCUAAAAUUCUAAGGAUUGAUGAUCCAACUGAAGCUGCAAAAAGUUCUAUAUG